This is a long non-coding RNA of Nematostella vectensis (starlet sea anemone), 722 nucleotides long. RefSeq lists it as uncharacterized. Lineage: Eukaryota; Metazoa; Cnidaria; Anthozoa; Actiniaria; Edwardsiidae. The record is from RefSeq and is a predicted model, not a curated record. The transcript has 2 exons.
GUUAAACAUACUUCCUUUAGCGUGGCGUCCAUGGCUUUAAAAGACAACGAGCGAAACUAUGGGAUAAAUAAACAUCCCAGCUCGCAUGAAAAAGAAGAAAGUCGUUAUUUUUCUGUAAAAUUCAAAAAAGAACAAUAACUCUUGAAAUGAUGGAUCAGCGCUUUUCAAUCCUUCUUUUCCUGAUGCUGUUCAUCACCUUUGCACUCUCGAAACCUCUAAGUCUAGAAAAACGCUUCGGUGCAAGGAAGGGGAAAAGAGUCGAAUUCCAGAGGGAAGUGUUACAAGAAGUAGAGAGAAAACCCGAGAAUACCGAGGCUGGUAAAUCACUUCAUGUGUCAAGUCAACUGGGAAAUAAACCAGCUUUUGAAGAAAAAACACGUGCUCAAUGGCAAGUUUACCAUGUACCUCAAGUCGAAGAGGAAGAGUACUACGAAUAAAAAAAAUUGUUUUUUUAAUAAUUUGUUUAGCAUUGAAUAUGUGGAAAUUUGUCAGCGCAAAACGCAAAGAAUAACAGCCUAAAUAAUAACAGAAAAAGACACAAGAUAAAUCGAAUAAGGCUAAAUGAAUGAUAAGUGACCGUAACGAUAUUUAAGAAGUGACCCACAAGAACUCUAGAGAAAGGCAUUAUGUUUUUUACUAAAGGCAGGUUUUGUAUAAACAAGGAAGCUUAAUUAUUGUAAAUAACAAAAUAAACCAGAAUACAAAGAAUACAAUACAAAGAA